GCGCCGCUGGUGUAUGGAACACGCACCGUUCUCUUGAUGGGUGAACCUUAACUUGAAGCGGUGAGACGGGGUUCGAUUCCCCGGCUGUGCA
This is a non-coding RNA of Mycena vulgaris, 91 nucleotides long. Lineage: Eukaryota; Fungi; Basidiomycota; Agaricomycetes; Agaricales; Mycenaceae. The record is from the annotation of a GenBank genome assembly.